AGACAAAGCCCCUGCCGAGCCGCGAGGACUCAGCGACUUUGGGUGGCGGCAGGUGUGUCGGGCCAUAAUAAUGGCGGCCACUUGAGUGUCACGUGACAGAGCCGCUAGGGUGUGGAGGGUCCAGGAAGGCGGUCACAGACGCUGCCUCAGCUAGCUGCCUUCUCAGGUCACAGAGCCGUGCAGAUCCAGGUCCUGGGUGACCACUCUGUCCCGAAUGAGCAAGAGACGUACCUAGUCCUGACGACAAGGGACAACGGCCUUAACGGGCCUGGAAGUUAGAAGACUACAUGUUGAAAGUUUGCUUUGAGCUUGGUUCUUCUUGAACAUGCAGCUUCAAAUCAAUGUCUGUCUGCUCAUAAGUUCAACCAAACCAGGACUGCCACUGGCUGCUAAAGGGAAGAAAAGGCUCCAUGAAGAAUUCCAGCGUACCUCCUGCCCUGGCAGCCAUUCUGCUGUUUCUAUGGAAACAUUCACCAGAUAGCAGCAUGCUAUACUGUGCAAGUGAAGAAGAAGGCAUCUUCCUUUCAUCACCACAUCUAGAGUGUGACCACUUCACAGAAUGAAAGAAUGUGGUGAACACAGUUCUUUAUUCUGACAGAUAAAUCGUUCAAGAGAAAGGGGCCAGAUGCCAGUGACAUUUUCUUGGACUUCCCAGCCUUUAGAACCAUGAUCCAAAUAAACUUGUAUUGUUUAUAAAUUA
This 700-nucleotide long non-coding RNA is filed under the name Homo sapiens (human). RNAcentral's name for it is "long intergenic non-protein coding RNA 1815". The record is from RNAcentral. Lineage: Eukaryota; Metazoa; Chordata; Mammalia; Primates; Hominidae.